AUACAGAGGGUGCAAGCGUUAAUCGGAUUUACUGGGCGUAAAGCGCGCGUAGGUGGCUAAUUAAGUCAAAUGUGAAAUCCCCGAGCUUAACUUGGGAAUUGCAUUCGAUACUGGUUAGCUAGAGUAUGGGAGAGGAUGGUAGAAUUCCAGGUGUAGCGGUGAAAUGCGUAGAGAUCUGGAGGAAUACCGAUGGCGAAGGCGGCCAUCUGGCCUAAUACUGACCCUGAGGUGCGAAAGCAUGGGGAGCAAACAGGAUUAGAUACCCUGGUAGUCCAUGCCGUAAACGAUGUCUACUAGCCGUUGGGGCCCUUGAGGCUUUAGUGGCGCAGCUAACGCGAUAAGUAGACCGCCUGGGGAGUACGGUCGCAAGACUAAAACUCAAAUGAAUUGACGGGG
This 396-nucleotide ribosomal RNA is filed under the name uncultured bacterium. RNAcentral describes it as "partial 16S ribosomal RNA". It matches the Rfam family "Bacterial small subunit ribosomal RNA", at positions 523 to 918 of the family's 1533-position model. The record is from RNAcentral.